UUCGGUGGCCAUAGCGUCGGGGAAACACCCAGUCUCCAUUCCGAACCUGGAAGUUAAGCCCGCCAGCGCCGAUGGUACUGCGACCGGGAGGUCGUGGGAGAGUAGGACGCCGCCGGACAUUCACACUGUUAAGGGCCACCCCACUAGGGGUGGCCCUUAACAUUUGUGG
RNAcentral lists this ribosomal RNA (169 nucleotides) under Kribbella sp. VKM Ac-2569. The record is from RNAcentral. Lineage: Bacteria; Bacillati; Actinomycetota; Actinomycetes; Propionibacteriales; Kribbellaceae.